GAUGAACGCUGGCGGCGUGCUUAAGACAUGCAAGUCGAACGGAGUGUGUAGCAAUACUCACUAAGUGGCGAAUGGGUGAGUAACACGUAGGUGACCUGCCCUGAAGUGCGGAAUAACAGUCCGAAAGGAUUGCUAAUACCGCAUGUGGUCCCGGGCGUUAGAGAACCGGGUCGUAAAGACAGUAAUGCGCUUCAGGAGGGGCCUGCGGUCCAUCAGCUAGUUGGAGGGUUAAAGGACCGUACCAAGGCUUCGAUCGGUAGCUGGUCUGAGAGGAUGAUCAGCCACACUGGGACUGAGACACGGCCCAGACUCCUAC
RNAcentral lists this ribosomal RNA (316 nucleotides) under uncultured bacterium. RNAcentral's name for it is "bacterial SSU rRNA". It matches the Rfam family "Bacterial small subunit ribosomal RNA", at positions 28 to 342 of the family's 1533-position model. The record is from RNAcentral.